CGCCCGCGGCCUACGGGAGGCAGCAGUGGGGAAUAUUGCACAAUGGGCGCAAGCCUGAUGCAGCCAUGCCGCGUGUAUGAAGAAGGCCUUCGGGUUGUAAAGUACUUUCAGCGGGGAGGAAGGGAGUAAAGUUAAUACCUUUGCUCAUUGACGUUACCCGCAGAAGAAGCACCGGCUAACUCCGUGCCAGCAGCCGCGGUAAU
This 203-nucleotide ribosomal RNA is filed under the name uncultured Enterobacteriaceae bacterium. RNAcentral describes it as "partial 16S ribosomal RNA". It matches the Rfam family "Bacterial small subunit ribosomal RNA", at positions 329 to 524 of the family's 1533-position model. The record is from RNAcentral. Lineage: Bacteria; Pseudomonadati; Pseudomonadota; Gammaproteobacteria; Enterobacterales; Enterobacteriaceae.